RNAcentral lists this ribosomal RNA (497 nucleotides) under uncultured bacterium. RNAcentral describes it as "partial 16S ribosomal RNA". It matches the Rfam family "Bacterial small subunit ribosomal RNA", at positions 28 to 507 of the family's 1533-position model. The record is from RNAcentral.
GAUGAACGCUGGCGGCGUGCCUAAUACAUGCAAGUCGAGCGAACAGAUGAGGAGCUUGCUCCUCUGACGUUAGCGGCGGACGGGUGAGUAACACGUGGAUAACCUACCUAUAAGACUGGGAUAACUUCGGGAAACCGGAGCUAAUACCGGAUAAUAUAUUGAACCGCAUGGUUCAAUAGUGAAAGGCGGUUUUGCUGUCACUUAUAGAUGGAUCCGCGCCGCAUUAGCUAGUUGGUAAGGUAACGGCUUACCAAGGCAACGAUGCGUAGCCGACCUGAGAGGGUGAUCGGCCACACUGGAACUGAGACACGGUCCAGACUCCUACGGGAGGCAGCAGUAGGGAAUCUUCCGCAAUGGGCGAAAGCCUGACGGAGCAACGCCGCGUGAGUGAUGAAGGUCUUCGGAUCGUAAAACUCUGUUAUUAGGGAAGAGCAAAUGUGUAAGUAACUAUGCACGUCUUGACGGUACCUAAUCAGAAAGCCACGGCUAACUACGUG